This 74-nucleotide transfer RNA is filed under the name Thermoprotei archaeon. RNAcentral describes it as "tRNA-Ala". It matches the Rfam family "tRNA". From Rfam's summary of the family: Transfer RNA (tRNA) molecules are approximately 80 nucleotides in length. Their secondary structure includes four short double-helical elements and three loops (D, anti-codon, and T loops). Lineage: Archaea; Thermoproteati; Thermoproteota; Thermoprotei. The record is from RNAcentral.
GGGCCGGUAGUUCAGGCUGGAAGAAUGCCGCCCUUGCAAGGCGGAGGUCGUGGGUUCAAGUCCCACCCGGUCCA